RNAcentral lists this ribosomal RNA (453 nucleotides) under uncultured Porphyromonadaceae bacterium. RNAcentral's name for it is "partial 16S ribosomal RNA". It matches the Rfam family "Bacterial small subunit ribosomal RNA", at positions 341 to 792 of the family's 1533-position model. The record is from RNAcentral. Lineage: Bacteria; Pseudomonadati; Bacteroidota; Bacteroidia; Bacteroidales; Porphyromonadaceae.
ACGGAAGGCAGCAGUGAGGAAUAUUGGUCAAUGGACGGAAGUCUGAACCAGCCAAGUCGCGUGAAGGAUGAAGGUAUUAUGUAUUGUAAACUUCUUUAGCAGUGGAGUAAUAAGGGGAUCGCGAUCCCUAAUGCAAGUACACUGAGAAUAAGGAUCGGCUAACUCCGUGCCAGCAGCCGCGGUAAUACGGAGGAUCCGAGCGUUAUCCGGAUUUAUUGGGUUUAAAGGGUGCGCAGGCGGCUUUUUAAGUCAGUGGUUAAAUCGUGACGCUCAACGUCAUCACGCCAUUGAUACUGGAGAGCUUGAUUGCGGUCGAGGUUUGCGGAAUUCGUUGUGUAGCGGUGAAAUGCAUAGAUAUGACGAAGAACACCGAUUGCGUAGGCAGCAGACCAGGCCGUAAAUGACGCUCAUGCACGAAAGUGCGGGGAUCGAACAGGAUUAGAUACCCUGGUA